UGGCGGACGGGUGAGUAAUGUCUGGGAAACUGCCUGAUGGAGGGGGGUAACUACUGGAAACGGUAGCUAAUACCGCAUAACGUCGCAAGACCAAAGAGGGGGACCUUAGGGCCUCUUGCCAUCGGAUGUGCCCAGAUGGGAUUAGCUAGUAGGUGGGGGAAGGGCUCACCUAGGCGACGAUCCCUAGCUGGUCUGAGAGGAUGACCAGCCACACUGGAACUGAGACACGGUCCAG
Molecule: ribosomal RNA, 235 nt
Filed under: uncultured bacterium
Lineage: Bacteria
Description: partial 16S ribosomal RNA
Rfam family: Bacterial small subunit ribosomal RNA
Source: RNAcentral